AUACGGAGGGUGCAAGCGUUAAUCGGAAUUACUGGGCGUAAAGCGUACGUAGGCGGUUCGUUAAGUUAGAUGUGAAAGCCCCGGGCUUAACCUGGGAACUGCAUUUAAAACUGGCGGACUAGAGUUGAGUAGAUGGGAGUGGAAUUUCAGGUGUAGCGGUGAAAUGCGUAGAGAUCUGAAGGAACACCAGUGGCGAAGGCGACUCCCUGGACUCGAACUGACGCUGAGGUACGAAAGCGUGGGUAGCAAACGGGAUUAGAUACCCUAGUAGUCC
This 274-nucleotide ribosomal RNA is filed under the name uncultured bacterium. RNAcentral's name for it is "partial 16S ribosomal RNA". It matches the Rfam family "Bacterial small subunit ribosomal RNA", at positions 523 to 796 of the family's 1533-position model. The record is from RNAcentral.